Molecule: ribosomal RNA, 711 nt
Filed under: uncultured bacterium
Lineage: Bacteria
Description: bacterial SSU rRNA
Rfam family: Bacterial small subunit ribosomal RNA
Source: RNAcentral
AGAGUUUGAUCCUGGCUCAGAACGAACGCUGGCGGCAGGCUUAACACAUGCAAGUCGAACGAACCUUCGGGUUAGUGGCGCACGGGUGAGUAACACGUGGGAACGUGCCCCUGGGUGCGGAAUAACGUCUGGAAACGGACGCUAAUACCGCAUAAUGACUCCGGUCCAAAGAUUUAUCGCCCAGGGAUCGGCCCGCGUCUGAUUAGGUAGUUGGUGAGGUAAUGGCCUACCAAGCCGACGAUCAGUAGCUGGUCUGAGAGGAUGAUCAGCCACACUGGGACUGAGACACGGCCCAGACUCCUACGGGAGGCAGCAGUGAGGAAUAUUGGACAAUGGGGGAAACCCUGAUCCAGCCAUGCCGCGUGAGUGAAGAAGGCCUUAGGGUUGUAAAGCUCUUUCAGGUGCGACGAUUAUGACGGUAACACCAGAAGAAGCCCCGGCUAAAUUCGUGCCAGCAGCCGCGGUAAUACGAAUGGGGCAAGCGUUGUUCGGAAUCACUGGGCGUAAAGCGUGCGUAGGCGGAGUUGCAAGUCAGAAGUGAAAUCCCGGGGCUCAACCCUGGAACUGCUUUUGAAACUGCAACUCUAGAGUCCCGGAGAGGUUGGCGGAAUUCCGAGUGUAGAGGUGAAAUUCGCAGAUAUUCGGAGGAACACCAGUGGCGUAGCGGCCAACUGGACGGGAACUGACGCUGAGCACGAAAGCGUGGGGAGC